GUGUCCAUGGAAUGUAUCCACACUACUCUUACAAGGUGGAAGUUACAGGUUCAAGUCCUGUUGUGCCCAUCA
RNAcentral lists this transfer RNA (72 nucleotides) under Gammaproteobacteria bacterium. Its description in RNAcentral is "tRNA-Val". It matches the Rfam family "tRNA". From Rfam's summary of the family: Transfer RNA (tRNA) molecules are approximately 80 nucleotides in length. Lineage: Bacteria; Pseudomonadati; Pseudomonadota; Gammaproteobacteria. The record is from RNAcentral.